AUGGACGUUCUGUGCAGAUUGGAUCUGCCUGAUAAAUUCAGGACCCAAAGAGUUGUCAGUUAUCUGUUGUUUGCUUCAGUAAACCCCUUUAAAUGUUUAUGACCGGCGGGAAUGUUGAGCCACCAGAGGGUGCGCUGAGUCUAGUUUGCAUACUCAAGCAUUGCAAUUACUGUUCUUCUAUUUUAAAAGGCCUUAUGUGUUAUCGUAGGUAUUGAAAUGGGCUUUGACAAGAAGUAAAAAGAUCCCAAUUUUCCUGUAGCGUGUCAAGUUACCCCCAAAUACAUCAUCGGCUAUAAAAAUGACUUGUUGCGUGAAUUAGAAUGAGUAAAACUGUAUAACACUGUCAUUUGCAAUAAAUACGUUUUGAAUCUCAUUUUGAUAUCCCUUCAUAUAAAUAUGUUUGGUUUAAGUCGAUGGUAAUCCAGAACAAACGAAAAUGAAUAUGAAUAGAUUUGUAAUGUGUCAAAAAUGUUAGACGUCUGCCUAAUUUAAUAUUCAUUUCACACAAAUUCCCUUAAAAAUACUAAUAUACACAAAGCCAGUGUUGUUGAAUACUUCCAGAGUUGGAUCUUAGAGAAAUGGUAGUUACCUGCUGGGAGUUUUAGUUUAUAUUUUUAGAAUAUAAAAUAAUGAUUCUUAUUUUGGAGUUUACUGCCUCUUGUGUCAAGCAGGCCUCUGCCAUUUUUGUAGCAGAGCUUAGUCAGUAUUUCAUGGUAAAUGUGGGCAUUAAAGAAAAUAGUUUUCCCUGAGAAUUCCGUCUCCCUUUCUCUCAAUUUCCUUUCUGUGAACUUUAUAGUUUUGUAUGUUUUGUUAGAAGAGCGCAAACUAACUCUUUCCUAGGAUGGUUAAGCUCACCAGGAUGAAUAUUUUUCACUUAUAAUAAUAAUCUCAAAAUGCAUGUAGCCAAAAAACGUUUUGUUUCUCAGGGCAUCAAGUUAUCAGCAGAGGUCAAACCGUUUGUUCCCAAACACGCGGCGGUAACUGUGGCAUGGUCAGAACCCUCAGCAGCAUGUGUCUUUCCUAGGUACUUAACUACAUGCUACCCAUUUGUUCAGGAACCAGCGCUGGAAAACGUUGCGGGAGAUACUACGCUCAGUGACUACUCCAGCUGCUCUUACUCGUCCGAUGUUGUUUCAAGUGUAUACCCAAUAGCAAGCUCACAAUAUCAUGCUAACAACUCUGCAUACUACAGUAGUUCUGGAAGAGUCAGUGAAUCUGCUGAACAAGCAUAUCCAGUCAGACCAGAAAGUAGCAAUGUUUCAAAGCAGAGAAGGUCAAAAGAGGGUGAGAGAAAAUUAGACAAGAGAAGGCGGGAUGGAGAGGACUCCUCUGGCAGAAUUGUGAACAGGACUUCUUUCCAGACGUCUGCAUGCAGUAGGGAUUCCACGAAACCAGACAGGUUCAAUAAAGCUGCAAACAAGAAGUCAACAGAAACUCCAAAAAGAGAGACUCUUCCUGUACCUGCUGUUGAAGCUCCUGUUUUGGAUUUCUCCAAGUCACACAGUUUGGGAAGAAGUGAGGUAUUGGAUGUGCAGCGUAGAAGCGGAUCGGUAUGUUCGGCGGAAAAUAGCGUCACAUGCCUUAGUCAACCACUGAAGACGCAGACGUCUCCUUUGUUCAACACGGAGGAAAAUGUUUCUAUGGAAAGCAAAGCUCCAUCAAAAACUUUAGAAGAAACAGUAGUCAGCUUAAUUCCUUCUUCAUUUGAUGGUAGAGCACUUCCUCAAAAAUCUGCCGAUGGUUCUGCUCAGCCGCAUGUGUCUUGGGCCAUGGUUCUUUCACAGCCGCCAAAGAAAACUGUGUCAUUGCCAGCAUCUGAAGGUCUUUCCAGAAGCAAAGGGAAGCAGGACAGUCAGGCAAAGUCAGAAACAAGACAUGAUGCUAGUGAAACUGAGCCUGAAGAAGGGUCAGAAAAGAAGAAAAAAAAGAAGAAAAAGAAAAAGAAACCUAAAUCAUCUGUUGGAGUAGAGAAACCUCAAAAUGAAACUGCUACAGUACAGGAACCACCAAGGAUUGAGGAUGCUGAAGAGUUUCCUGAUCUGGCAGCUGCUUCUGAUAGGAGAAACCGGCUAGGAUCUCAGAAGUCAUCAUUUUCCCCUGCUGUCAGAAAGCAGUCUAAAGUCCAUCUGCCCGAAGAGUCUUGUGAUAGUUAUUUUCCCAAGCUGGAUGGAAUGCCCACGGUGGAUGGAAUGUCAGGGAAGCAAGCUACAUCUGUUGCAUUAGAAAGAAAGAAAAUACAGGAAACAUCCAAGAACAGUGGUAAGAAGAGUCAAAUUCCCGUGCAGUUGGAUUUGGGUGGCAUGUUGGCAGUCUUGGAGCAGAAACAGCAAACGGGGAAGUCAAAACAGUCUUCUAAACCUGUGGUGUUUUCAGUUGGUGGUGCCAUACCAUUGCUUUCUAAAGAACCUGCUACAGCAACAAAAAAUCACCGGUUAAACCAAGGAAAGAUGCCUCAUAACCCUUUGGAUUCCAGCGCUCCUUUGGUAAAGAAAGGGAAGCAGAGAGAAGUCCCUAAAGCAAAGAGACCAACACCUCUUAAAAAGAUUAUUUUAAAAGAAAGAGAACAGCGAAAGCAGCAGCACCUGUUAGAACAGACAGCGAUACCAAAAGAUGGAGAUAACAUUUGUCAGACUGUAGAAAAUACUACUGAAGAUGAAACACUGCCACAGGAUAGCCAAGCAGCUGUCCCUGUAACUCAAGUUGCUGUGGCUCAGAGUAACUCUGAAGGGUUUCCGGAGGGCUCAGGGAUCGAGGAUUCUACAGAAAGCUCUACAGCUUCAAAGCAGCUAAACUCCAGUCUUCCAAAAAUCCACAGUAGGAGAUUUAGAGAUUAUUGCAGCCAGGUACUUAGUAAAGAAGUUGACAGCUGUGUGACAGAUCUCCUAAAAGAACUGGUUCGUUUCCAAGAUCGCCUGUAUCAGAAAGACCCAGUAAAGGCCAAGAUAAAACGCAGGCUUGUUAUGGGCCUUAGAGAAGUUUUGAAACAUCUGAGGCUGAAAAAACUGAAGUGUGUCAUCAUCUCUCCUAACUGUGAAAAGAUCCAAUCAAAAGGUGGGUUGGAUGAGACCCUACACAACAUUAUCGACUGUGCCUGUGAACAAAAUAUCCCCUUUGUCUUUGCCCUUAAUCGCAAGGCCCUAGGCCGCUGUGUGAAUAAAGCAGUGCCUGUGAGCGUGGUGGGAAUUUUUAGCUAUGAUGGGGCUCAGGACCAUUUUCAUAGAAUGGUACAGCUGACCACAGAGGCCAGGAAGGCAUACAAAGAUAUGAUAGCAGCUUUAGAGGAAGAAGCUGAAGGAGAACUAAGUGAAAAACCCUCCAGCAUUUUAACUGCUGAAUAUGGAAAAAGUGGCUUAUCAGAAACCAGUAAAACAUCUUCCAGAGACUCUGAUGAGGAUGUACCAAAUUAUAUUAAAAUCUGGAAAAAAAAGCUUGAAGAAGAGUAUAACCCAUAUGCCCUGGAAUUGGAAAAGAAUGCAACCACUGACGUGCUGGCAUUGAAUUCAGAAGAGCAUCAACAUCAAAUGACAAGCCUAGAGAACUCCCUUUUCUGCAGUGGAGGAUACUUGCAUAAGAAGUUCUGUCAAGCAUUCUGAAAGAUGCGAUUGGUGCCAGGUGCUACAGCCAGCCUCUCUGAAGUAUGUUUGUAAAUGCUUUACCACCUUUACCAGUUGUAGUGCAAUACUUCAAAAAGUAGCUGCCCUGUGAAGCUAGAGGUGAUAUAUAUUUUUAAAAAAAACUCUAAAUAUUAAAUUCAAAGUCCAAACAAUUUUGUAGAAUGUAAGAAAGAUGUAUAAAAAUCUGCUAUAAUAUAUUGAUUCGAUAAAGUAUGGUUGAAGUGCAAUUCUUUGUGACCUAAAAGAAGUCAACUGUUCUGGUGGGCAGUUAAUGGAUAUCUGGACUGUCAGUUUUGAGGAAGAACAUGUUCCUUUAAAGAAAGAAAGUAAAUAAGUGAACCACCAUUGGGCUGAAAUGCACAGUUGUUCACUGUUUGCAAUCGUCUUUUGGCAUUAGUUUCACCUAAUCUUAAAUGGAAAUUAAGGAUGAAAGAUCUCACUGAUGAAGGAUGGUUUUGACUUGCAAGACAUAUCCUUGGUCCCAAGGUAGGUUGCUGUUUGUUGGCACUCAUGCCACUGAUGCACAUUUAAAGCUGCUAAACCUUUUUUCCUAGUCACUGCAUGGUAGCAUGGAAGGGUAGUUGCUGGAGAGUGCGCGUCCUGGUGUUUGCUGUAUUUAUUUUCUGUACAGCUUUUGUCUUAUCCUAGAGGAGCAUUCAGAGCGACUUUGGAAGCGUUACAGCUUAUACAGAAUCUUAGCCACUUUCUAAGGAGAAGGUGAAGUAACUCCUUAAGGAAUUCACUGUAUGGGGUUAUUGAUCUGUUUACUAAUUGUGUUAAACCAAUGUUUUUUCAUAGUGACUUGAGAGGCAUUUAGUAUAUAAACUCCUACAGAAAUGGUCUUGCACAGAUUAAGAAUGUGUGAUGAAGCCCUGUUGCCAUAACUGAUUGAUUGGCCCACACGUGUGUUCAAAGAAAUGAAGAUUAGAAAAAAGCCUGUGAUCUACUUAAUUACAGCUGAAGUGACUGGCAUCAGAUAACCAGAGAUGGUUCCAACAUGGGAUUGGUGGCCUCUCUUGUAGCAAUUUUGCAUCAUCUUGUCAUGUUCACUGAUGGCAGUUCUCCAGCUAUCAAGUUCUUUGGUCCAUCCAUCCUGGCCAGUGCUAUCUGAAAAUAGUUAUGUAAUCAUCCUGUUUACAAAGUAAUACCCAAGUGCCACCACCGAGGAGCCAUGAGAGCCAGGACGGUAAUACCAACACUUACAAAGGGUUUUUCUUGUUCUUGUUUGCAAACACACACUGUUAGAUGUAACAGGGCCACACUAGUCCCCAGUUCCUGAAACAGGCGGUGCCCACGCUGUCAUAAGACAGUGACAGCCUUAACCUAUCACAGUCUAAAGCGGGAAAAAGGAUGCUUUUAGUUUAAUGUCUGCGUGGUUUUUAUUUAAAAGUGGUCGGAAAUAUUCAAUUGAUCUCCCAAACUUAAGCGAUGACUUAAGUCCUUUUCUGUUAACAGCUUACAAAAUUUAGAUUAUGACCUUAAUAUAUCUUAUAUAGAGACUUUAAAUAAUAAAAAAGAAGCGGCCUGUCACAGAUCUACAUGGAAGGAAUGGUUUUAUCAUACCAAGGUGCCUCUAAGUGAUUCAGCCAGUGCAGAAAUUAUUAAAGGAGGCAGUACAAAACCACAGUAUGCAAAAUGACAAAUUAACAGUUAUUAUCAGAUUACUGCAGCCACAGACACCAGAGGUUUGGGGACAAGAAGGAUAUAGAAAUUUAUAUUUAUAUUUAUAAUACAUAAAGCAGGAUAUAGAACUGGUUAACAAGGUACAAAUUUAGCAUUCCCACAUGAGGAUAAAGAUAAACCAAGCGUGGAUUAAUAAAUAACUGUACAGAUUAAAGUCGGCAGUACUGCUUCGGCAAAGCACACCAUGUUAAUCUCAAUAUAUGCUACAUAAAAAUUAGCAAAAUGUUUUAGAAAGUUUUCAAGUAUUUAUGCAGCGGAUUGAAUUUUUCUGGCAGAGGCAAAGCUUUUCCUUUCUAGGCUAUCAGUUUUACUUAAGGGACUUAACUGCUGCGCAAACACACACAGUAGCAUUUUCAUGUUCGAAAAACUGCUGAUGACACACCAGUCCACAAGCAUAAUUAUCAAGAAACACCUAUUAAGACUUUCAGAAGAGGUAACGUUCUGGGGAUUAUUUUAUACAACAGUCCACAAAAAAGCAGGUGGAAAAAUAGAAAAUGGUUUUAAAAAAAAAAGUGUAUUUUCUGUUUGUCUUCCACUUAGAGCAAGAUUACAAUUUAGAGCAAAAUCCCACCUAGCCUCAGUUGCAAGACACUGAAAUGCCGUGAUUUAUAAUCCUAGACUCAAACGUUUUUUUGGCCAGCACGAAUCACUUUUCUAAGCAGCGCCUUGCCGCUUUGGGUGCCACAUGUCUCCGUUCAUCUCUCGGCUGGGCUCCCUAGCUAGGCACACGCACACCGUAACCACAGGCACCCCAAUGCAUUGCAGCCCCGAGGGGAGACAGCCCACCUGGGGCACGGCGGGAGCGACUUGCAGAGCCCCCUCCCGUCCGCAGCAGCACGUGGGGAGGGGAAAGCUCCCCGCUCCUGCGGGUUGGCAGGUCUGUGACGGAUGAGCUCCUCCAGGGGCAAAUCUAGGACUAGUCAAGGCUUCGGGGAGGGAGGACGCCUCUGUUGAGACCUGUUCUGCGUUAUUACUUGGCCUUAUGAGGAAAGCCAAACCUCAGGCAUUUGGACACGGCCUCAGGCAAGGUCUGUUUUGGACUCGCUACGCAGACUCUUUUGUCUAGUUUUACGCAGUUUGCAGCAGGGCCCCGGGACGUGCCAUGUAUCGCAUUUUUGCCACUCUCCUGCAUGCCUUUCAGCAGAACUUUAAGCUUCACUUAAGAGAGAAAAACAGUAAUAAAUCAUUCGUGAUUUUGAUUCUGGGGAAUUAUGGAUCGUCUCCCACACUGACGUGGGAAGCUUUCUUGCAUUAUGCCCUACCUUUAAAAUAGCAUAACCGCGGGGAACAGGCAUUGUACAUGGAUGUUAUCAAGCACCCAUCUCGAUACCUCGAAGAAAUAAUAACUCCUUUCAAGCCUGAUGCUGCGUUUGCAGAACGUUUCUUUUCGUUCCCAGGGCUAUUUUAAUGAGAGCGAAAAGUUAAGGAGCAGUAAUGGAAAACCUCCAGCUUCAGACAAACUAAGGAAGGAGGUCGGAAGUCUUGACAUCAUGGAAAACAAAUAGAGCCUGAACCUGCAGGCCAAAACCACAAAGCAUAAUGCUGUUCACUGUUUCUUAUCGUCUAUAAAUCUAUUUAAAUUGUUGCUCAGCAUAAUAUUCUAGUUACCUAACUUGUCUCUGAAAUUAAGGUCAAGGAUAUACUUAUACUCUGCAGUUCGGGGGCGGGGGGUCAAAGUAGUAGCAUUGAUUCUGCUAAAAUGUGUUUAAAAAAGCUUGUUUCUACUAUAUCUAUAUUCAACAGAGCACAGUAGAGAUAAAUUAUAAAGCAGUCCUGCACAUCAUCCACUCACCGCCUUUUCCCCUGCACCAGAUGGUGUAGUAGUCUGUUCAAUUUAUUUCAAACCUGCCUCAAGUGUCUUCAAAGUGUUCAAAAAUGCUGUGACAGCAGACAAAGUUACAAUAAGGAAAGUAUACAGGAAACUUAAUAUUUGCUAGCACCUAUCUAACAGGUCUUUGGAGACAUGUGAAAACAUGAGACUUUUCAGGGCAGUAGAGAGAAAAACUGGAAGCAAUUUAAGGGGGCAGAUGUAUUUCCUUUUUUUCUGGAAGGGCAAGGGUAACUCAUUCUUAAAAAACUCCUUUUUCCAGCAAAAGUAACAAAACCUGACAAGUGGCUGUUUGUGCUCUAUCCACUUUAUCUUAAUGCUGCUGUUGAAAUGAGCCUGUUACAAGGUUGGGAAGUAUUCUCCUUAGGCAGGCUUUCAGAUUAAAACGCGCGGGAUGAAUGAGAGAUGAAUAAGCGAACUAACUCCUGCUGCGUUUCCAGACAGCUUGAAGCAGACGUUUAUGAUUCAGAAAAAGAAGAAACUCAAUCGUCCUCAUUAAAAUAACGUUAGGAACCUGAUUAAAAAAAAAAAGCAGCUUCCGUUUUCUGAGCAGAUCAGGUGGCAAUCUGUCUGCGUUAUAUAUAGACGGGGAACCUUGCUUACCCCACAUCCUUUAAUCAGAAGGCCGCCUAAGACACUUAACUCUGUCAGUCUCAUUUUGCUCUUCUGUUCUUUGCAAACACAUUUUGCGUUAUAAUCAUUGCCAGGGGAAAUAAAGUUCUGUUACAGCUAUGUUUUACUUAAAGAAAUAUCAACUAUCAGUGAAGGAACGUGAAUAAAUCCAAGCAGAGAGCUUCCUGGUAAACGUGUCUGCUUAUCCCCCAGGAAUAAAUUUAUACAUCCUCACAGACAGGUCCCGGAAGGGUGCAGAAGGCCUGUAUCAGUUUGGUAUGCUGGUUUUCAUUUAUUUAUUUUUAAUCAACGGCACAGAAAUUGCAGUUCUGAGUAAGAGGAGGAGUGCGCUGCAUCAGCCGAAUGUCUUAUCUGCUGAAGAGAAUGAAGCACCCAUCCACAAGAUGAAGUCUAGUGAUUCACUGCUUUGUGAGAGAAGGUGGAAACUCCUUCCCCAGUGACUAAUCUCAGCCUCCAAGUAUGAGGACGCCUGGUCUCCCCGAGUCAUUACUGCACCUUUCAGAGCCCGAGUCUUGUAGCAGCUCCCUGCACUAUUUGUCCCUACCCUUCUGCAGCACUGAAAUCCACAGGGUGACUUUAAAACACAGCGCCUUCUGUCUUAAGUUUACUGCCGAGGCAAUUACAGUUACUGACAAUUUUUAAGCAGCAGCACGUGAAAAACGUGUUGAAACAGACAUCAACAGAUACCAAAUACAGAGACAUCACUGGAUAAAAAAGGAAGCAAUUUAAAAAUAAAUUCCUGAUCUGUAGCAUGAUUAUCAGACAGACUACUUAGUGUAACCUCAUGGAGCAAAAGACGUCUAUUAUUCUCAAUUUUCUCAUGCUGGAAAUAAAAAGCUUCUACGCACACUGCCUAUAGCAGCAGUGAACAUUUUUAAGCUUAUUCUCUUAUUUCAAGGAAACAAAGUUACAUCUUAAGACCUUUUAUAACCAUUAAAACUCACUUAGCUUAAACAGACCACUACCAUCCAAACAAAAGCUGAAAGACAAAUGUUGAAUUUCCAUGGAAAAAACAGCUUCGACCUUCAACUAUAUACCUCAGAUAACUUUCGUUUUAUGAAGUAAAUGUUAUCAUUACCGUAAGAGCUUUACUGUUUAAAAUAGUAAUAAUUAAAAAAAAAAUGCAUCUGACCAGGUCUAGGAAAAUAAACUCAAUACCAAACCAAUCAAGCUGGAUUCAACUGAAGUAUUUUUAAAAUGGUAUACAAUGCUGAGUGUGAAAAUAUUUCCUUGCUAAACUUAUCCAUACACAAUCGCGAUUCCGUCGGCGACUUCGGCACAGAAAGGAGCCCGUUCAAGUCAACCGACUGCUAACGUACUUAAGCAGGCGGCUAAACCAGACCCCUUUUUGGCAUUACAGUAUUGGCAGCGCCCAACUCUGAAAAGUAUUAAACCGCCGACUGUCACCGUGACGUUCGUAAGACAUCCCGAAACGGUCGCCUUUUACAUCAAACGCGUUCAUGAGGACACGGCCACACAUCUAAAGCUUUACCGCAGAAAGUGCUGGCUCA
Non-coding RNA from Struthio camelus australis, 9269 nucleotides. The record is from RefSeq and is a predicted model, not a curated record. NCBI's taxonomy places the organism in Eukaryota, Metazoa, Chordata, Aves, Struthioniformes, Struthionidae.